Long non-coding RNA from Amphiprion ocellaris (clown anemonefish), 547 nucleotides. Lineage: Eukaryota; Metazoa; Chordata; Actinopteri; Pomacentridae. The record is from Ensembl.
UAAACUUUCAUUCAAAGCCGCCAGGAGCUGGGUCUUUAAAAUAACCACCGUCUCAUUACAGAGUGAAAGUAGCAGUUCCUCCUGAAGGUCAGAGAUUGCAGCAUCUGAGGGCCUCUUCAAAAGAAGACGUAGUUGAUGAAGGCGUUCUGGAGCAGGACCAGAAAGACCAUGACCAAGCAGCCUUGAGAUCUUAGGCAGCGUCUCCCUCAGGUCCCUCUCUAUCUCCCCACACUUCCACCAACCACUGGAACACAUCUCCAAAGUUCUGCCGGGCCAGCUCAGCUUCCCCUCAGGAGAAGUACCACCACCUGCCAGAUGAAGGAGCCUUUUGAGAGGCAGCUGGCAUCGUGAUUGGACUGUACUUUGGUCUGUUCCAAUCCAGCUUCAGCUCCAGAGACGGCAGGCGGGACAAGUCAACGGAGGCCGGACUCCAUGGAUUUUAUGAAUGGUGGUUAAAGACCUGCUCUUCUAGUGGUCUUCCAGUCGCUGUAAAAAGUCAGUCCAUCCUGGCCGACUCCAACAUCUCUUCAUGACAACUUGUUCUACC